This 85-nucleotide transfer RNA is filed under the name Phycisphaerales bacterium. Its description in RNAcentral is "tRNA-Leu". It matches the Rfam family "tRNA". Rfam says of the family: Transfer RNA (tRNA) molecules are approximately 80 nucleotides in length. The record is from RNAcentral. Lineage: Bacteria; Pseudomonadati; Planctomycetota; Phycisphaerae; Phycisphaerales.
GCCGGAGUGGCGGAAUCGGCAGACGCAGCGGAUUCAAAAUCCGCCGCCCUUAACAGGCGUGUGGGUUCAACUCCCUCCUCCGGCA